This 466-nucleotide ribosomal RNA is filed under the name uncultured bacterium. Its description in RNAcentral is "partial 16S ribosomal RNA". It matches the Rfam family "Bacterial small subunit ribosomal RNA", at positions 28 to 507 of the family's 1533-position model. The record is from RNAcentral.
GACGAACGCUGGCGCUGUGCUUAACACAUGCAAGUCGAACGGUAAGGCCCUUUCGGGGGUACACGAGUGGCGAACGGGUGAGUAACACGUGAGUAACCUGCCCUCAUCUCUGGGAUAACAGUCGGAAACGGUUGCUAAUACUGGAUAUGAGCUUGCAAGGCAUCUUGUGGGUUGGAAAGAUUUUUUUGGUUGGGGAUGGACUCGCGGCCUAUCAGCUUGUUGGUGAGGUAGUGGCUCACCAAGGCUUCGACGGGUAGCCGGCCUGAGAGGGCGACCGGCCACAUUGGGACUGAGAUACGGCCCAAACUCCUACGGGAGGCAGCAGUGGGGAAUAUUGCACAAUGGACGGAAGUCUGAUGCAGCAACGCCGCGUGCGGGAUGACGGCCUUCGGGUUGUAAACCGCUUUCAAUUGUGACGAAGCUUUUUGUGACGGUAGCAGUAGAAGAAGCACCGGCUAACUACGUG